Long non-coding RNA from Drosophila obscura, 826 nucleotides. RefSeq lists it as uncharacterized. The record is from RefSeq and is a predicted model, not a curated record. The transcript has 3 exons. Lineage: Eukaryota; Metazoa; Arthropoda; Insecta; Diptera; Drosophilidae.
GGCACAUAGAGUGCUUUUUUUUCUACCUGUCUAGUUCAUAACAGGAUAUUCCUGAGUGUUCACAGUUCGUCGCGCGCUGCCCGAGAUACAACACGGAAACAAAAUUUCAGCCGGAGGGAGGCAUCUGCUCGAAUAUGCCGUACAGUCGCCGCUGGCUGAUGCACGCGCUCAGUUGGCUCAUGUAGCUAUUGCGGAUCUCUCUGUCGAGCACCGUGUGGCACUGCAUAGCGACCAUGUUUGUCUAGCCACAGCAUGGCCAGGCGGUACUCCUGCGAGCCAGUAUCGAAGGCCUCUUCCGGUUGCGGCGAGUCCUCCACUAUAUUUAAGAAAUCUCUGAACAGCAUAUUCGUCUUAUCUUCGGUGCAAGUGCGACUGCGAGAUGCUACUCCAUAUUUGUAAACUAUAAAAUGUAUUCUAUUGGCCACACAAAAUAGAAAGCAAGUUCCAGCUAGACUCACGUUAAUUGGAAUCAAAGAUAUGUCACAAAAAAAAAUAAAAAAUCCUGCUCACACUCCCACACGUACAUAUCUACGUUUCUCAACCACUUGAUGCGUGAUUCGGUCAGCGAUAAAUGACCAUCGCUAACGCUAUACCCCCAGCUUUGAUCUUCAAGUGCUCUCACACCCUGGGCUGCCUUUCACAGGCAGAGAGUCAGCCGGCAGGGCAUUCAAAAUAACUGGAAUAUCGGAAACGAAAUUUCAAGAGAGUCAAAGAGGCAGGAGGGCACCCACCAACACCCACCAGCACGUCAACGACAUGCCACUCAAAAAAGUCAAACCACUUAAGUGCCUUCCAGCCGACAAAAAUAAAAUGAAGUGAAAUGAAA